RNAcentral lists this ribosomal RNA (948 nucleotides) under Triticum aestivum (bread wheat). RNAcentral describes it as "partial small subunit ribosomal RNA". Lineage: Eukaryota; Viridiplantae; Streptophyta; Magnoliopsida; Poales; Poaceae. The record is from RNAcentral.
GGAUUUCAGGUCUGCCACUCGCUGGGAGGAGGCACUGGCUCCGGAAUGGGCACCCUGCUCAUCUCCAAGAUCAGGGAGGAGUACCCAGACCGGAUGAUGAUGACAUUCUCGGUGUUCCCAUCGCCCAAGGUGUCUGAUACUGUUGUGGAGCCAUACAAUGCCACCCUCUCUGUGCACCAGCUUGUUGAGAAUGCGGAUGAGUGCAUGGUUCUUGAUAACGAGGCUCUCUACGACAUCUGCUUCCGAACGCUCAAGCUUACCACUCCCACCUUCGGUGAUCUGAACCACCUCAUCUCUGCAACCAUGAGUGGCGUUACCUGCUGUCUCCGCUUCCCCGGUCAGCUCAAUUCAGACCUCCGGAAGCUUGCUGUGAACCUGAUCCCGUUCCCAAGGCUGCACUUCUUCAUGGUUGGAUUUGCCCCGCUAACCUCGCGGGGUUCACAGAUGUACCGUGCACUCACUGUGCCUGAGCUCACCCAGCAGAUGUGGGACUCAAAGAACAUGAUGUGCGCCGCUGACCCAAGGCACGGCCGCUACCUCACCGCCUCAGCCAUGUUCCGUGGGAAGAUGAGCACCAAGGAGGUUGACGAGCAGAUGCUGAACGUGCAGAACAAGAACUCGUCCUACUUCGUUGAGUGGAUCCCCAACAACGUCAAGUCGAGCGUCUGCGACAUCCCGCCCACUGGCCUGAAGAUGUCAUCCACCUUUGUUGGCAACUCGACGUCGAUCCAGGAGAUGUUCCGUCGCGUGAGCGAGCAGUUCACCGCCAUGUUCAGGAGGAAGGCCUUCUUGCACUGGUACACGGGCGAGGGCAUGGACGAGAUGGAGUUCACCGAGGCCGAGAGCAACAUGAACGACCUGGUGGCCGAGUACCAGCAGUACCAGGACGCGACGGUCGAGGAGGAAGAGGACUAUGAGGAUGAGCAGGAGGAUGAGGAGGCCGCCUAA